GUUGAACGCUGGCGGCGUGCCUAAUACAUGCAAGUCGAGCGAACAGACGAGGAGCUUGCUCCUCUGACGUUAGCGGCGGACGGGUGAGUAACACGUGGAUAACCUACCUAUAAGACUGGGAUAACUUCGGGAAACCGGAGCUAAUACCGGAUAAUAUAUUGAACCGCAUGGUUCAAUAGUGAAAGACGGUUUUGCUGUCACUUAUAGAUGGAUCCGCGCCGCAUUAGCUAGUUGGUAAGGUAACGGCUUACCAAGGCGACGAUGCGUAGCCGACCUGAGAGGGUGGUCGGCCACACUGGAACUGAGACACGGUCCAGACUCCUACGGGAGGCAGCAGUAGGGAAUCUUCCGCAAUGGGCGAAAGCCUGACGGAGCAACGCCGCGUGAGUGAUGAAGGUCUUCGGAUCGUAAAACUCUGUUAUUAGGGAAGAACAAAUGUGUAAGUAACUAUGCACGUCUUGACGGUACCUAAUCAGAAAGCCACGGCUAACUACGUG
Molecule: ribosomal RNA, 497 nt
Filed under: uncultured bacterium
Lineage: Bacteria
Description: partial 16S ribosomal RNA
Rfam family: Bacterial small subunit ribosomal RNA
Source: RNAcentral